UCUCAAGGUGGUGAUGUACGGCGUCAA
This 27-nucleotide non-coding RNA is filed under the name Bombyx mori (domestic silkworm). The record is from RNAcentral. Lineage: Eukaryota; Metazoa; Arthropoda; Insecta; Lepidoptera; Bombycidae.